AAGCAUCUCCUGCAGUGAAGCAGCUGCUGCAGUGGAGCGUCUCCUGCAGCUGCAGGGAAAGUUCAAGCCUCCACCAUCUCCUCAGGCAGCGUGUCCCAGAUUGCAACCACCCUCUGGCAUCUGCGGUUCUUUGCUUUACACGUUGAUUUUGAUGUUGUGACCGGCCAACAACGAAUCAAAGGAGAUCAGAUACUUGGUGUCGUAAUCUACUGGGAUUCAAGUAACUAACUGUGGAAGUCAGAGAACCAGUUGUGACUGUGAGACGUGGUGUUGUGUUGGAAGCACACAGAUGGCCUGGGAUGUUCAUUAGAUGCAUCAAGAAGUUGCUGUGGAGACGGUGCAGGACGUUCCCCCCCGGUUACGGCAGGAUUCCCUUCCUGGGAACCGUUCCCAAGCGGAACAUGCGUCCGUGAACAGAGUUCCCACACGGCAGAAGAUGCCUGCAGCCCCGCAGCAGCCGGUAAAUCCAUCCCACCGUCUCCCAGACACUCGCUCAUGUGUACGGGCUGUACUUUACUGUGUCCGU
Amblyraja radiata (thorny skate) is the source of this 526-nucleotide long non-coding RNA. RefSeq lists it as uncharacterized. Lineage: Eukaryota; Metazoa; Chordata; Chondrichthyes; Rajiformes; Rajidae. The transcript is spliced from 3 exons. The record is from RefSeq and is a predicted model, not a curated record.